This 254-nucleotide ribosomal RNA is filed under the name uncultured bacterium. Its description in RNAcentral is "partial 16S ribosomal RNA". It matches the Rfam family "Bacterial small subunit ribosomal RNA", at positions 524 to 776 of the family's 1533-position model. The record is from RNAcentral.
UACGUAGGGUGCGAGCGUUGUCCGGAAUUAUUGGGCGUAAAGAGCUCGUAGGCGGUCUGUCGCGUCGAUCGUGAAAACUUGGGGCUUAACUCUGAGCUUGCGGUCCAUACGGGCAUGACUGGAGUUCGGCAGGGGAGACUGGAAUUCCUGGUGUAGCGGUGAAAUGCGCAGAUAUCAGGAGGAACACCGGUGGCGAAGGCGGGUCUCUGGGCCGAUACUGACGCUGAGGAGCGAAAGCGUGGGGAGCGAACAGG